This 7212-nucleotide long non-coding RNA is filed under the name Olea europaea (common olive). RNAcentral's name for it is "long non-coding RNA (OEUR_LNC011639)". Lineage: Eukaryota; Viridiplantae; Streptophyta; Magnoliopsida; Lamiales; Oleaceae. The record is from RNAcentral.
UUUUUUUUCAAAGGCAGCCAAGAAAGAAUCCCGAUUCCCUAAUCGUAAAAGAAACACAAACCCUUUUCUUCCCUUCUCCAAUUGCACCGCAAAAACCAUAUCUAAUCAUCCCACAUCAACCCCUAGACUCUUCACUCCAAAGCAUACUCAGUCCACUCUCCAAUUGAAAACUCUUUACCCCCAUCCUCUCAAGCAAAUCUCGAUUUGUCUUUCCAAUCCAUGUAUUUUUUUCUUUCUUUUUUGAGGGCUUUUGGUUUUUGAUUUGUUUACUUUUUCUUUGUCAUUUUCCGAAAUAGAUUGUAGUAUUUCAUUGUCACUGUGCGUUGUGUAUAUUUUUGAGAAAUUUGCUUCGUCCUUCCCGAACUUAUUGUCCUAGUAGCAACUUUGCCCCCAACAUUUUAUUAUAGUAGUUGCAAGAUUAAUAGAAAAUGUCCAAAUUUUUAUUAAAUCAUGGCCCUCUUUUGUUCAAUUUUGUGAAGCUAGAUUCUGCUUUCCAAUUUGGAUGGUUGUGGUUAUAUUCUUUUUGCUUUCUGUUUAGCUGGUAAUAUAACUAUUUUCUUAAAGAGAGAGAGAGAGAGAGAACUGGAUUUUGUUGUAGUAUAAUUGAUUUGGGAAUUUAUGUUUAUGAAAUUACAUUUGCGAAUUGUGAUUUAUGAUAAGUGAUUUAUGUUUUAUGAGUUAUGAUUAUUGAUUUGGAAAUUUAAAAAACUUAAGAAUGAGAUAAUAUUGUAACGUUUUCAAAACAUGAGACCCCAUAAAAUACAGUUGUCUAAAUUUACAGUUACAAAGUGACUGAGUAAAGUUGUAGCGUAUAUUUUUUUUAACAUUUUGGAUUAUAUUGAAGUAUAUUUUCAUAUGUAUAUAAUUUUGAUGUUUAGUUCAUUUACAUAUAUAUCGAAUAACUUUUAAUAUUAUUAAUCAAAUUUUAAUAAACGAUCGGGCUAUUACAAUCGUUCAUUGUCGACGGUAAACAGUCAACCUCCGUCCUAGCAGAACUUCAAUCUUGGAUUCACGCUUGAUGGUAUGGUCUAUAAUUAAGCAACAAUUUACUUAAACUUUUGUAUUCUUUUUAGCUUGUGUUUCUAUUGGUCAUCUUAUUAUUUAAAAUAUAUCAAAAUAAAUUACACGUUCUUUGGGACGUAAGAAGAAGGCCUUGAAUUUCCAACUUGUUUGAAAUUGUUUGUGAUAUUUUGGCCAAGUAAUCUUUGAAAUACAUGAAAUUAUUGGCUAUGGCUCAUAAUUUUGUCUAUUUUAUUUAUCUAAUGCCUAUUUUAAGACUAUAGGGGCUUGAUUAUUUUUACAAUAUGGGGGAGACAUUACAUGCUUUUUAAUUUCCCAAGUUCAUAUUUUUUGGCACUUGGGAUGUUCUUAAAUUCGUUGCCCAUUUAUGUUAUAAUUAUUUGGUUCUUUGUUGAUUAUGGGUGAAUGACAUUCAACAAUAUUUAGUUGUUCACCAGUUAUGAGUACCCAUAUUAUAUCCAAGCAUUUCAUUGAAUUGUCAUGAAUCCUUGAAGAAGGAAAAGAAAAAAAGCUCUAAACUAAUAUUAGUACAAUUGAACUAGAAAUUCAAUAACUCUAAAUAUUAUUUGACCUGGUCGGAUCAACAAUGUUUCGAAAUAAGAAUUCGAAUAAAUGGUAAUUGAAGAACCAUAAGAUUCUUCAACUAAUGAAUUCUCUUAUGAUGCUUGUUCUCUGUAUUGAAGUUAAGCCAUCGAUCAUCGCUAGCUAUAACUAGAUUGAAUCCCUAUAUUGAAAACUUGUUAGGAUAAUACAUGAGGCUCCGUCACUCUCGAUGUUGACCAUUUAGAUAUUAUUCUAUCAUACAUAUGUGUGAUGAUUGCACGGUGUUAUUAUAUGUUUGCAACCUAAAGUUUGCAAGACUACUUGCUCAUAUUUUAGAUUAUGACCAUAAUUUUUAGAUGAGGAAAUUGCAUCUCAUGUCACUUUUUGGAUUGGUAUUUUUAAAAAUGUCACAUUUUAAUAAUCUUUGCAAGAAUGUUAAUUUUGGACUUUUUUACCCUCUCAAAAAUCUAAUUACCUUGCAUGUCAUUAAUUAAAGUUGAUUUGACUAGAUGAAAAAAUGGUUCAAAAAACGAAAAAAUAUCACAUCAAAUCAUCCACCCUUAUUUUUUAAAACCAUUUUCCAAUUUUGUACGUAUUCCCAUUUUGCAAGCCCACUUGCUAAACCUAUUUCACAUUGCAAACUAAACCCAUUUCACACAAAAAUGGUGAAGAAGAAUGUGAAGAAUUUCCAUCCCCACAAUAAUCACUUUCCCAUCUCACGAUCGAUAACCCACACCUAGUUGGAAUACAUUUCAAGUUCAAUAUCUGAUUGUUCAUAUUUGGCUCCAAAUUCAAAUUGAGGUAAAUGCCACUUUCAUUUUUUUAGAUUUACAUGUUUUGAAUAAUUUAUACUUUAAUUGUGUUAUGGUUGGUUGCAAUCUGACAAAAAACGAAAAAAUAUCACAUCAAAUCAUCCACCCUUACUUUUUAAAACCAUUUUCCAAUUUUGUACGUAUUCCCAUUUUGCAAGCCCACUUGCCAAACCUAUUUCACAUUGCAAACUAAACCCAUUUCACACAAAAAUGGUGAAGAAGAAUUUGAAGAAUUUCCAUCCCCACAAUAAUCACUUUCCCAUCUCACGAUCGAUAACCCACACCUAGUUGGAAUACAUUUCAAGUUCAAUAUCUGAUUGUUCAUAUUUGGCUCCAAAUUCAAAUCGAGGUAAAUGCCACUUUCAUUUUUUUAGAUUUACAUGUUUUGAAUAAUUUAUACUUUAAUUGUGUUAUGGUUGGUUGCAAUUUGAACAUUUUGGAUUAUAUUGAAGUAUAUUUUCAUAUGUAUAUAAUUUUGAUGUUUAGUUCAUUUACAUAUAUAUCGAAUAACUUUUAAUAUUAUUAAUCAAAUUUUAAUAAACGAUCGGGCUAUUACAAUCGUUCAUUGUCGACGGUAAACAGUCAACCUCCGUCCUAGCAGAACUUCAAUCUUGGAUUCACGCUUGAUGGUAUGGUCUAUAAUUAAGCAACAAUUUACUUAAACUUUUGUAUUCUUUUUAGCUUGUGUUUCUAUUGGUCAUCUUAUUAUUUAAAAUAUAUCAAAAUAAAUUACACGUUCUUUGGGACGUAAGAAGAAGGCCUUGAAUUUCCAACUUGUUUGAAAUUGUUUGUGAUAUUUUGGCCAAGUAAUCUUUGAAAUACAUGAAAUUAUUGGCUAUGGCUCAUAAUUUUGUCUAUUUUAUUUAUCUAAUGCCUAUUUUAAGACUAUAGGGGCUUGAUUAUUUUUACAAUAUGGGGGAGACAUUACAUGCUUUUUAAUUUCCCAAGUUCAUAUUUUUUGGCACUUGGGAUGUUCUUAAAUUCGUUGCCCAUUUAUGUUAUAAUUAUUUGGUUCUUUGUUGAUUAUGGGUGAAUGACAUUCAACAAUAUUUAGUUGUUCACCAGUUAUGAGUACCCAUAUUAUAUCCAAGCAUUUCAUUGAAUUGUCAUGAAUCCUUGAAGAAGGAAAAGAAAAAAAGCUCUAAACUAAUAUUAGUACAAUUGAACUAGAAAUUCAAUAACUCUAAAUAUUAUUUGACCUGGUCAAUUAAAUCAUCAGUGGAUCAACAAUGUUUCGAAAUAAGAAUUCGAAUAAAUGGUAAUUGAAGAACCAUAAGAUUCUUCAACUAAUGAAUUCUCGUAUGAUGCUUGUUCUCUGUAUUGAAGUUAAGUCAUCGAUCAUCGCUAGCUAUAACUAGAUUGAAUCCCUAUAUUGAAAACUUGUUAGGAUAAUACAUGAGGCUCCGUCACUCUCGAUGUUGACCAUUUAGAUAUUAUUCUAUCAUACAUGUGUGAUGAUUGCACGGUGUUAUUAUAUGUUUGCAACCUAAAGUUUGCAAGACUACUUGCUCAUAUUUUAGAUUAUGAGCAUAAUUUUUAGAUGAGGAAAUUGCAUCUCAUGUCACUUUUUGGAUUGGUAUUUUUAAAAAUGUCACAUUUUAAUAAUCUUUGCAAGAAUGUUAAUUUUGGACUUUUUUACCCUCUCAAAAAUCUAAUUACCUUGCAUGUCAUUAAUUAAAGUUGAUUUGACUAGAUGAAAAAAUGGUUCAAAAAACGAAAAAAUAUCACAUCAAAUCAUCCACCCUUACUUUUUAAAACCAUUUUCCAAUUUUGUACGUAUUCCCAUUUUGCAAGCCCACUUGCCAAACCUAUUUCACAUUGCAAACUAAACCCAUUUCACACAAAAAUGGUGAAGAAGAAUGUGAAGAAUUUCCAUCCCCACAAUAAUCACUUUCCCAUCUCACGAUCGAUAACCCACACCUAGUUGGAAUACAUUUCAAGUUCAAUAUCUGAUUGUUCAUAUUUGGCUCCAAAUUCAAAUUGAGGUAAAUGCCACUUUCAUUUUUUUAGAUUUACAUGUUUUGAAUAAUUUAUACUUUAAUUGUGUUAUGGUUGGUUGCAAUCUGAAGUUGAGGGGGUGGGGGGGAAUUCGUAUAUAUGGUUUCGAUUUAAUAAGUGACCAUAUUCAAGCUCCUAAAAAAAUUGAGAUUUUGAAACAUUUUCCAUAUAAUGUUGGGUAGAAUUAUUUAGUUUGUUUGAUUUUUUUGGUUUAAGAAAAAUCUAGAUUUGUUCCUUUAUUUUUUCUCCUUCUAUGUAGUAUUCCUAUUUUUUGAGUUAGAUUUGUUCAUUUAGACUUGUAACUAGGAUUACUUAAUUUUUAACGACAUAUAUGCUCUCUGUUUAUGAAAAAGCGAAAAUAUGUGAAAAAUGUAGUGCGCUCUUGUUUAAUGAAUUACAUUUAGGUUGCACUUGAAAGUAAGAAUAUAUGAAACUUUAGUACACUCUUGUUUAGUGUUAGUUGUAUGAUUUUGACAAUUUUACUUGAUUUUGAAGUUUUAUAGAGAAUUACUUUCCGAAUAUGUUAUUGUUUUGUGGGAUAUCGUUGAAGUAAAUUAUUGUCAUACUGUGUUAUGAAUUUAAGUUUGCAUGAAGUUUGUCUCAUUUUUUAAUUUAUAAAUCAAUUUAGUUACAUUUAUUUGUAAGCUUGUUUAUUUAUCUAUACAUUUUGAUAUUUUUUAUCGAGUCAUUGAUUCAAUUUUGAAUAAAUAAGGAGUUAUGUUUACUCUGUGAUUAUGUUUUCUCAAAGAUUUGAUUAUUCAAUUUGUAAGUACAAUAAUUUAAAUGCAUAUGUUGGGAUCUUUUUUAUCUUUUACUGACAGUGAGUUGUUAAAUCGAUUUAUGGUCUGUUCACUUAUCGUUUGGAUUGAAUUUUUGAGUUUAAUUUGAAUGUGGGCUAAAUUUGUGAGUUCAUAUGUUUUUGAAUUUGAUGUAAUGUGAUUUAAUUUGAGGAUUUAAAUAUUUGAUUCAUGAUAACAUAUGGAUAAUUCACAUAUUGUUCUUAUGGAAUCCAUAUGUCGAGAUAAACUAUCAUUCUUGACAGCUAUGAUAUGAAAUUCUCGAUAGUUGGUUAUUGUUCCUCAACAAUUAUUAUACAAUGUCAAACUUGUUUCAUAUGCUCUUCCACGUGUGUUACAAAGUAAAUAUAUUAAAUAUUAUAAUUUGAUUUUUGGUAUUUGUUCAUGCUACCGAUUUUUCAAUAGAUUAACAAACUAUAAUGCCAUUGGAGGAUUGCUUGAAGGAUACGUCAGCACCAUCUUCUAGUAAAGGUUGUGCCCUCAAAUGCUACCGAUCUAAUUGAAAAUGAAGAAGUGAUGGUGAUGAAGAAAUGAUGCUCAACGCAAAUUCGAAUACUGUCUGCUUUGAAACCUUUUCCAAUGCAAUAAAGUUACAUAGUGCAUUUAUCUUUGAUAAAGAGGUAUUUUUCAUGGGUUUACUUUGGUAUCGUGUUCAUAUUAUUGUACAAAAGUUCUUCACCUUAAUAUAGUAACAAAAAUUAAAAUAUUCGGUUCAGGCUAUGUUGUUCAGUCUUCAGGCACUAACGCUUACUUGCGGUCAUAUGUUCAUUAAUUUCCCUCAAAGUAAGCUAUACCUUUCUUGAGACUAGAACUCCAUGCACGAGGAGUGGUAAAAAACGAAGAAAAACAUGAAAUAAUUGAAUUUUGAUGAACUAAAAUUAUUGUCGUCCCUCUUUGAAGGGUUGAGAAUCGUGAAAUUUUCUAAGUUAUGAAACUCAUGUACCUAAUCUUUGUAAGUAUAACUUAUUUUCGUAUAUGUGUAGUUUAUUUUGUAGUUUUGCGAAAAUAUAGUUGUUUAGCCAUUGUGUAACUUGAUUAUGUGACUGUUACUAGUUGUGUAUUAUAAUUAUGGUCAAGUUUAGGUAUAUUUAGCCAAGUGCAAAAAAUUAUAUGGACAUUCUAAUUUCUUUUCAAUUUAAUCAACUGCCCUGUGUGAUAUAAUGACCAUCCUUUACUUGAAAUGAUGAGAUGUUGCAUGAUGUGGAAAUCCAAUGAAUAAAUUUGGAUGAUGUUAGUGAUUCAUAUACAUUAAUCGAUCGUCUUGUCAUGGUUACUGUAUCUACGCAUUGCUAUAUAUCCAUUAUAUUAUCUAGUUUGUUACAAACCGUUAUUUAUUUUUUGAUUUGUCUUGUGUCAAACUUGCCAACAUACAAUUGUCGAAAAUUAGUGCCCAAAAAGUUUGUUAAUACUAUGAUAAACACUAUUUGGUGAUUGUGUACUGAAUGACCAUAGUAGGGACAAUUUUCCAAGAAUUUGAUUAUAAACAUGCUACAAUUCUCCAAGAAUUUGAUUAUAAACAUGCUAUUUGGUUUAUAUAUGUGCUUAUAAGUCUCCUAGAAUUGUCGUUUCCAUUUAUGCUAUGUUUGCUAGAUGUAGGGUGUAUGUUGUUAAUUUUUGUGAUAUGUGAACUUAUCAAUUUAUCAUACAUCAUUAUCUCUAUCGUUUAUUUUGCAUGCGACAUUUGGAAUAUUGCGUUCAUCCAUGGGAAUCAACCAAUCAUACGUUCUGAAUGAGCCUCCGACAAUAUCUUAUUCUUCCCCGAUAUUUUCCAUCAUAGUCGUAUUGAAUGAUAAGGAAGUCACCUCUCUGAAGGUUUCACCUCCUAAGAUUAUUGUCAUAAGCUUAGACGAUUCUGAUGAAGACAAUGGGAGGAACAAUCAAAUGUCGAUGACUAUUGAUGUGGGCAAAAUUUGUGUACAUCAUUGACUAUAAUUAUUUAUUGUAGUUUUGUCAUGGAUUCAUAUGCUAACGUCUGUACAGAAUGUUAUGCAACAACAUAUCCAAUAUGCAUCUUAUUUGUAGUUAAGUUUUCAAGUUUGCAA